This 305-nucleotide unclassified non-coding RNA is filed under the name rhizosphere metagenome. RNAcentral describes it as "partial ribosomal RNA internal transcribed spacer region". The record is from RNAcentral.
GUAGGUGAACCUGCGGAAGGAUCAUUAUCACGUAUCCACGUAUAAAGCAUUGUGAGAGAAAGCAAAAUAUUAAAGCAACUUUUCUGUGAUUGGUUGUGGCUUUCUCUCACCUCAAUUGUCGUCUCCGGAGUCACUUUUGUACCUCGAGCUCCUCUCAUUUCAGAGUGUAUUUUCAAUCACUAAUUAUUAACCAUUUUAACCAAUCUUUAUAACUUUUGAACUAACUUAUUUCUUACUCUGCGGAGAAGAAAUUCAUUACGAAACAAAGAACAACCCUUAUAUUAGCAACGGAUAUCUUGGUUCUC